GAGGUUGUGGCUCAGUGGUAGAACACUCACCUCCCACGUGCGAGACCCUGGGUUCGACCCUCAGCACCACA
Molecule: transfer RNA, 71 nt
Filed under: Marmota monax (woodchuck)
Lineage: Eukaryota; Metazoa; Chordata; Mammalia; Rodentia; Sciuridae
Description: tRNA.Gly
Source: RNAcentral